UCUCAGUUCGGAUCGAAGUCUGCAACCCGACUUCGUGAAGCUGGAUUCGCUAGUAAUCGCGCAUCAGCCAUGGCGCGGUGAAUACGUUCCCGGGCCUUGUACACACCGCCCGUCAAGCCAUGAAAGCCGGGGGUACCUGAAGUACGUAACCGCAAGGAUCGUCCUAGGGUAAAACUGGUAAUUGGGGCUAAGUCGUAACAAGGUAAC
Molecule: ribosomal RNA, 207 nt
Filed under: uncultured bacterium
Lineage: Bacteria
Description: partial 16S ribosomal RNA
Rfam family: Bacterial small subunit ribosomal RNA
Source: RNAcentral